Molecule: microRNA precursor, 96 nt
Filed under: Mustela putorius furo (domestic ferret)
Lineage: Eukaryota; Metazoa; Chordata; Mammalia; Carnivora; Mustelidae
Description: miRNA (ENSMPUG00000022175.1)
Rfam family: mir-544 microRNA precursor family
Source: RNAcentral
AUCAUCUGGGGAUCUUAUUAAAGUGCAGACUCUAUUUCAGUAGGUCUGGGAUGAGGGUCUAAGGUUCUGCAUUUCUAACAAGUUCCCAGGUGAUGC